Molecule: long non-coding RNA, 212 nt
Filed under: Elaeis guineensis (African oil palm)
Lineage: Eukaryota; Viridiplantae; Streptophyta; Magnoliopsida; Arecales; Arecaceae
Description: long non-coding RNA (EGUI_LNC039187)
Source: RNAcentral
AGAUGCACUCUUCCAUGUCGAGACCAAAUGUCUCCAAUUUGGUGUCACUAUAGCUAUCAGAGCAGUCAAAGAAAGCAAAUCAGCCAAAUUGAUUUGUCUAAUGUUCACUCUCAAAAGAACAGCCAUGGAAGUAAGCAAGAAAAAGCGAAGAAAAAAAAAAGCAACCAACCUACGAUGGUGCAUCGAAAGAGAAAAGCAAACAAAAGGGUGCC